AACGAUGAGCAUUAGACAUUGGGCGUUGGCUCAGUGUCGCAGUUAACGCUUUAAAUGCUCCGCCUGGGUAGUACGGCCGCGAGGCUGAAACUCAAAGGAAUUGACGGGGACCCGCACAAGCACUGGAGCAUGUGGUUUAAUCCGAUACAACGCGUAAAACCUUACCAAGGCUUGACAUGUUUGGCAAGACUCGGGAAACCGAGCAGAGGUUAUCCAAACACAGGUGCUGCAUGGCCGUCGUCAGUUCGUGCUGUGAAGUGUACUCUUAAGUGCUAGAACGAACGCAACCCUCAUACUUAGUUACUACAUUUAAGGUGAGAACUCUAGGUAGACUGCCAAGGCAACUUGGAGGAAGGAGAGGAUGACGUCUGGUCGUCAUGGCCCUUAUGCCUUGGGCUACACACGUGCUACAAUGGUUAGGACAAAGGGUCGCCAACCCGCGAGGGGGAGCUAAUCCCAAAAAACUAACCCAAGUUCGGAUUGGAGUCUGCAACUCGACUCCAUGAAGUCGGAAUUGCUAGUAAUCGUGAAUCAGCAGUGUCACGGUGAAUACGUUCUCGGGUCUUGUACACACCGCCCGUCAAAUCACGAAAGUCAGUAAUGCCUAAAACUAACUUAACUAACCCGCAAGGGAAGUAGUUGACUAGGGUAGGAUU
This 656-nucleotide ribosomal RNA is filed under the name uncultured maize root bacterium Zmrc188. RNAcentral's name for it is "bacterial SSU rRNA". It matches the Rfam family "Bacterial small subunit ribosomal RNA", at positions 805 to 1469 of the family's 1533-position model. The record is from RNAcentral.